CAGAGCAUGAAGUGCAGCAAGGUGAUGGUGAUGGUGAAGUGCAGCAAAUAGAUGGUGCUGAGGCUGAGGCCAAUAAUCAGGGUGGAGGAUCUACUAGAUUUGAAGGUCGUCUAGAUGAACUUAUAAGAAACAUGAGGCAAGCCAACAUUGUUGUAGAUGAAGAUGAGGAGGAAGAUGAAGAUGACACUAUAAUGGAAUAUUUGAGUGAUGGUGACAAUGAAAACGCUGAUGAUGUCAUGUGCCAAGAUGCUGACAGCGAUGAUGAUCUCUGAAACUGCUAGAACCAACAAAUGGUCAGCAAUACUUCCAUUGGGGUACUCUCAGUUAUGACAAUAUUUUCAAAUAAUUGUGUGUUGUGCCACUCCACUAUGUACCCUGAAAUCAGUUAUUUGUGUGCUUGAAUUCUUAUUUUGCUAGUGAGCUAAUCCAUGCUUGUCAAAUCAUGUAUUUAUGCUGUAAUUAUCCAUCUUCUUUUACUAACAUUCUGAUUAAUGCUACAGAACAAGAGGCAAGAUGGAUCAGGUUGUACUGGUGCAACUGUUGACUUCCUAAACAUUGCAGUGAGAUGGGUGCUUGGUGGUCAAGUAUCUAAAGCGAAAAGGAAAGGGAGAUUCUGUUCUUGCAAGAAUCCUGAGGAGACUAGGAUGGCGAUCCAAGAUUUGAAAUGUUUUCAUUUUCAUUUUUUUUUCUUUUUGGAGAAUUUUGGUUGUUCGUAAAUUACAGUUUUAUACAAUGUAAGGGGAACAUAUAUACAGCAAGUGAAUUGCAGUUGCUUGCUGGUUCAUGACAAAUGAAACAUUUCAAGAAGCUAUGCUUCAAACCAUUGCAUUCAGAGUGCAUCAUAUGGUCUGAAACAUCACUGUUAAGUACUAAAGAUCGGUUAGAAUUUCCAUACAUGAUCUGUUGCUGAAACAGUCAUUCAUUCCUGCGUAUAGAGGUACAGACAAAAAGAAAAUCAUUCCAAUUCUGUAUAAGUAAACAACGGGAUGCCUUCAAUCGACAUUACUUGAAGUAGUGUGGUGGUGAGGACCUUUGUUUCAGAGCCUGGUGACCAGGG
RNAcentral lists this long non-coding RNA (1057 nucleotides) under Sorghum bicolor (sorghum). RNAcentral's name for it is "long non-coding RNA (SBIC_LNC008805)". Lineage: Eukaryota; Viridiplantae; Streptophyta; Magnoliopsida; Poales; Poaceae. The record is from RNAcentral.